GUAAACAGUAAGAAUUUUGUUGUCUCGCUUCUGUUAGUUUUGUUUAAAGUUUUUAAAGUUACACUCACUUUCAAAUUUCUUAGUAGUUAUGCAAACAGCUGGAAUUUUUUUUAUCGCUUUGUAAGUUUAGUAACCGCUACUGUUUCAUGUUUUCUUUAAAGUAUCCAGUGUUACACUCUAUUUCAAAUCUGUUAGUAGGUUUUCUAAUUUUGAUUAACUGUAUUAUCAGAGUUCCGAAACUCGUCCACCAGCAAAACGAGUCUGGGCAACCGAUGAUUUCCACAUGGCAUCAAAUUCUCCACCUAAAAAGCCUUUCCACAACACAAAUGAAGAACUAGUGACAGAGGAGCUACAGAGCAACGCAGUUCAGCACUUCUGGUGUGUCAGUGCAACUCAUUGUCAAAGUGAUGAAAGGUACACAGAAUUCUCUCGAAAUCAUCAGUGCACAUGUAAUGCCCUCACAUUCCUGGCCUACCUUAAUGAGGAACACCAGUUCAACACAGCCCGACUUGAUAAGGUGCUUGAACAGGGAGAUGCACUCUACUGUUGGAUUAAAACACAUCUUCAGCAGGAGAGGCGUUAUACGCAAAAUCAUCUGACCAUGGAGGACCUGCCCAAAGAAGUUCAUGCUGACAUAAACGUCUACAGUGUGAAAAUGGACAACAUAAGGUAUGGAUACCUGAAAGCAGCAGACAAAACUUAUCAAAGAAAAGAU
Oreochromis aureus is the source of this 715-nucleotide long non-coding RNA. NCBI's taxonomy places the organism in Eukaryota, Metazoa, Chordata, Actinopteri, Cichliformes, Cichlidae. The record is from Ensembl.